This 497-nucleotide ribosomal RNA is filed under the name uncultured bacterium. RNAcentral's name for it is "partial 16S ribosomal RNA". It matches the Rfam family "Bacterial small subunit ribosomal RNA", at positions 30 to 523 of the family's 1533-position model. The record is from RNAcentral.
AUUGAACGCUGGCGGCAUGCCUUACACAUGCAAGUCGAGCGGUAACAGGUCUUCGGAUGCUGACGAGUGGCGAACGGGUGAGUAAUACAUCGGAACGUGCCUAGUAGUGGGGAUAACUACUCGAAAGAGUGGCUAAUACCGCAUGAGAUCUACGGAUGAAAGCAGGGGAUCGCAAGACCUUGUGCUACUAGAGCGGCCGAUGGCAGAUUAGGUAGUUGGUGGGAUAAAAGCUUACCAAGCCGACGAUCUGUAGCUGGUCUGAGAGGACGAUCAGCCACACUGGGACUGAGACACGGCCCAGACUCCUACGGGAGGCAGCAGUGGGGAAUUUUGGACAAUGGGCGAAAGCCUGAUCCAGCAAUGCCGCGUGCAGGAUGAAGGCCUUCGGGUUGUAAACUGCUUUUGUACGGAACGAAAAGCCCCGGGUUAAUACCCUGGGGUCAUGACGGUACCGUAAGAAUAAGCACCGGCUAACUACGUGCCAGCCGCCGCAGUAA